Molecule: long non-coding RNA, 1105 nt
Organism: Daucus carota subsp. sativus
Lineage: Eukaryota; Viridiplantae; Streptophyta; Magnoliopsida; Apiales; Apiaceae
Exons: 6
Source: RefSeq, a predicted model, not a curated record
ACCAACCCGCACCACAAAAUGCGGUUUUUAAUUUUCGUGGUGCGGUUGCGGUUUGAAUUUUUCACAAACCGCGCGGUGCGGGGCGGGUUGCGGUUUGACAUAUUAGUAGUGUGGUUUAAACCGCACCGCACCGCAAAACUAUAAUAUACAUAUAUAUAUAUACAUAGAGGGCUACUCUAAUGAGAACUUUAAGUGGUGAGAACUAGAUACCAGGCUUAAAACAAAAAUAGAUACUGGGCUUAAAAUUAGGACAAGGCCCAAUAACAUAAACAUCCUGGACAUCGACGGUUUUUAAAAAUUAAAAUCAGUAUCAAACGUAACCAUACACCGUUACCCACUCAAACUCUCACUAGCAAAUCACCCCCAAAUCACAAAAAUCUCUCAACUACGCUGCUCAAUCGCCGUGUUUUGCUGUUGAACGCUCCUCAACGCUGCUCAAUUUGUUCUUAUUUCGUGCUUGGACGAAACUCGAGCACUAAAAAACCGGUGCAUUUUAGUAUCCCGAGAACUUAUGUAUCAGAGCUUGUGUAUAAUGCCUCUGGAUUGAUUGAGUGCUUCUUACCAUGGUUGAUAGGUUUCACUAAGUGAAGGGGAAGCAAGGUCUUUCCUGUGUAAUAUGCAUAUGGAAGGAUCCAGUAGAAGGCAAAGCAAAAGAUUAAAAAAAAACAUAUCUCGAGCACUAAAAAAUUGGUUUCACUAAGUGAAAGGGAAGCAAGGUCUUUCCUGUAUAAAUUUGCAUAUGGCAGAUGGGAUAGAGAGCACAACUUCAAUGAUUAAGGGUGAAAUACUCAAAUGCAAUCCUUACACCUCACUUGAAUGAAUACAAAGAGAUUGAACCAAAGCGGGCAAAAGGCUUCUACAAAAAGAUUGCAAACAAGACACUCAUGUCCAUUGUACUUGCAUCAAGUUCAAAGAAACCCAAGAACACAGAGAUUCAUGGAAAUGUUAUAUUUUCAGACAUUGAAACAGAACAUGAAGAAGCAUGAUGAAGUACCGGCUGCUAGAAAGUUUAAUGUAUAGAAUUCUAUUUGUCAUAAAAACAUAUAUCACUUGUAUUCUACAUUUGAAUUUCAGUCAUUACUAGUGUUUUAAGGAACUUAUUGUA